GAAUAAAGUUGGCCCUUGCGAGAGAAACCUACUGGGUCUUGUGUUACCGUCUUUUGAAAUCUGUGAAGUGUUGAAGUUUUAGUCGAGUACCAUUUGGUGAGUUUGUGACGAGUGGCCAGCAGAAGGAGUGAGCUGUAAAGGAAUGGAAGGACCCAGGUCUUGGCUGGGACCUGAGCGCCAGUGUGUCACGAGGGAGUGCGGGGACAGCAGCCACGGGAUCCAGGAGACUGCUGGAACCAGGGGGCCAGUUGGCAGAGUGCCGAAAUCUCCAUUGCAUGCUUGAUACAUCUGCAAGAUAAACUGUGAGAAGAAUGGGCAUUCCGAGAAGGACAACAGGACACAUCCCAAAUCAAAAGCCUGAAGGUCAGGAUCCAAAUGUUGAAGAGGAUCUCAUUCUAUAGUUUUCCAUUGUAACUGGACGAGGUGUCAUUUUAGUGGACCAGUGUUUAAAAACAAGUCAGUGGAGCUAGCUGCGAAGCUGGGUCACAAAGGUUUUAAAGCAACAGGUGGUUGAUUAUCUCAAUGGAAAUGUCGGCACCACAUUAAAGCGAACAGUGACAAAGGUGCUGAUGUGUUAGUGCAGAAACAUAGAAAUCUACAAAUCUCCCUGACUUUCUUCAAAAUUUUUGUGCAAAUGAUAUCUACAAUGCCAAUGAAAACAGACCUUUUAUUUAUCAUGCCAUACUGAAGGAUUCCCUUUACUACA
Molecule: long non-coding RNA, 706 nt
Organism: Mobula hypostoma (lesser devil ray)
Lineage: Eukaryota; Metazoa; Chordata; Chondrichthyes; Myliobatiformes; Myliobatidae
Exons: 3
Source: RefSeq, a predicted model, not a curated record